This 33-nucleotide small RNA is filed under the name Arabidopsis thaliana (thale cress). RNAcentral describes it as "ATSL224550". The record is from RNAcentral. Lineage: Eukaryota; Viridiplantae; Streptophyta; Magnoliopsida; Brassicales; Brassicaceae.
UUUUUCCUUCUUUUGGUUUUUUUUUGGGGGGUU